UAUAAAAACAUUAUCGCAAGUUUAUUUUCAACAUUGGCACGACAUCAAGAAUAACAAAAAUUAAGUUGUUGUUGGUGACAAAGCGAUGUUCGAAUUAAAGAGCAAAAAACAAAUCCAGUUGGAAUUAGCUCUUAAAAAACAGCAGAAAAAAAAUUUUAAUUUUGAGAAAUGGUGGCUUCGAUAUUAAUUUCAAGAUUAAAAAUAAAAAUGACUGCACACGGAAAAAUUUAUUUAAAACAAAUGGUAUCCGGCUGAUUGCGAACGUAUAUAAACAAUGAAAUACAUAACAUCGCACAUAAUAGAGACCAGUACAGAGCUGAAAACGAACAUAA
This is a long non-coding RNA of Bradysia coprophila, 332 nucleotides long. The record is from RefSeq and is a predicted model, not a curated record. Lineage: Eukaryota; Metazoa; Arthropoda; Insecta; Diptera; Sciaridae.